Astatotilapia calliptera (eastern happy) is the source of this 4520-nucleotide long non-coding RNA. Lineage: Eukaryota; Metazoa; Chordata; Actinopteri; Cichliformes; Cichlidae. The record is from Ensembl.
CAGGGGGUGGGGAUAAUCCAGUCUCAGCCUUCAUGUUUCUUUGGUUAGGUAAGAAAAUUAGACGAUGGCAUGCAAAGAUGCAGUACAUGAUGAGUCCUGUCAUAUCUAGACACCAUCCGCUUUCACCUUCUGUUUACUGAAACUGCUGUCCUUCUUUAACCAGAGAUAUGGAAGAAAGUGCGAUCAUGGCGUUUAUCCGCAAGUACCUAUGGUUAUGGGUGGUCGUUGGCAUGGUUUUCGUGUCUGUGGUGAUCAGCAUCAUCUUCAUGUUCAUCUGCAAGUGCAUAUCAAGAAAAAGAGAAGCCCAAAGCUACGAGAACCUGGCUGAGGAGAGCCAGAGCAUCCACGACUACGAGGAUGGCAACUGUGAGCAGAAUGUAAGCAACCACGAGGAAAGCAUCCACGACUACGAGGAUGGCAACUGUGAGCAGAAUGUAAGCAACCACGAGGAAAGCAUCCACGACUACGAGGAUGGCAACUGUGAGGAGAAUGUAAGCAACCACGAGGAAAGCAUCCACGACUAUGAGGAGAGCACAGAACUCCAGGCUGACUACAUCAAGAUGGAGGGAGACAUCAUGUUUCCUCCUCCUCCAAUCUUCAACAGCAUGAGCGGUAGUGUUUUGGAGGCCCAAAGCUACGAGAACCUGGCUGAGGAGUGCCAGAGCAUCCACGACUACGAGGAUGGCAACUGUGAGCAGAAUGUAAGCAACCACGAGGAAAGCAUCCACGACUACGAGGAGAGCACAGAACUCCAGGCUGACUACGUCAAGAUGGAGGGAGACAUAAUGUUUCCUCCUCCUCCAGUCGUCAACAGCAUGAGCGGUAGUGUUUUGGAGGCCCAAAGCUACGAGAACCUGGCUGAGGAGAACGACUAUGUGGAGAGCGUGGACAAUCAACCGGACUAUGUGAAGAUGGACAAGGAAGAUCAAGCAGGAGACAACACCUCCACGGAAGACUAUGAUGACAUCGGGGGUGAAGAAGACGAUGAGGAGGACUAUGAUGAUGUGGGAUAAAACCCAACACAACGAGAUGGAGACAGUUUUGAAUUCUGCUGAGCAGAGAUUAUCCUUACUGAAGAUUUCUCUUGUCUUUUUGUAUUUUUUUAAUAACAUUCAUUGAAAAAAAGGAAAUAAUUGAAGUACUGAAGACACUGAAAUCUGCCGAGUGGUGUCGAGACAACUGGUUUGAUCUUUAAGACGGUGAUUCUUUUUAAUAUAUCGAAAAAUUCUGUUUUUCAUCUGAAUGUUGGAAUUGUUUGUUUUUUUACUGAAUACAUUAACAAGCAGUGACUUGCACAGGGUCCCAGAUUAGGAUGAUAUCUGGAUUUGCAAACUACACAUGAAAGCAAUCAAACUAUAUUUCUUUGUCUUCUUCUGACUUAAAUGUCAGAAGAAACUCUUUAGUUUUAAACAUGAAGCUUUUGCAUAUAUCAUGUGUAGAUCAUUCCCAUGGUUUUUGAGAAGGAACAGACUAUGUUGCUGGUGGCUUUCGUUAUGCUCAGUUUGGCGAGAUUUGGUACUUUUUUAAUGAGCUGAAUCAACUAGAUCAACAGUGUAAGAAAGGUUUUUGCUGUAUGAAACACAAAAAACUAUUGGAGCUUCAAAUUUGAUUCUAACUAAACAUAAGACAUGAAAUCUGAAAGUCUGUAACUGCAACAGCCUGAGAUGUUUUUCUUUCUUUAUGUGUUUGUUGAUUUAUUUAUACACAUGAACAUUGAUAUAAGAUUAAUAUGUAAUUUUUGGGGGGAUUUUUGCUUCUUUUCUAAACUAAAUAUCAGUGUAAAGGGGGUCUCCCCCUGUCCAGAUCCCAAACAUUAUCAGUGAGGCGUCUGACUAUCGAUCAUAUGGUGGGUUUGUUUACUUUUGUAUAUCAGUUGGUCCGUUUGAGUGGUUAAUAAGUGGGCAGUGAUGACAUGUUUGCAUGAUCAGAUCCCGGGCAGUGAGUGAGUGGGGCACAGGGGCAGUGAUUACAGUGGUUGGUUAUAUGUAUGCACAGUAUCUAUACAGUCCUGUGAAAAACUAAGGAUUGAUUUGUGAUUCAGUAGCUUAUAGAUCCACCUUCAGCAGCAAUAACUCAGAGUAACUGUUUUGUGUAUGACUUUGUCAUGGUUGUGAAAAAACGUUGCUUCACGUCUUUUGUUUACGUACAGCUCUCUUGAGGAUGCGCCACAGCAUUUCAGUCGGGGUCAGGUCUGCACUUUAAUUCUUUUCUUUUAUUCACCAUGAUGUUGUAGAUUUACUGCUGUGUUUGGGAUCAUUGUUCUGCUGAGUCAGCGAAUUUGGGCCACGCUUUAACUGCUGGACAGAUGGCCUCACAUUUGACUCUAGAAUACUUUGGAAAAUACUUUGGCACACAGAGGAGUUCAUGGGAGACUGAAAGGUGUCCUGUGACUGUGAAACAAGCCCAAAUCAUCAUCCCUCCACCACCGUGCUUCACAGUUACUAUAGUGUGUUGGUUUUUGCCAGAUGUACUUUUGCACAAUGUCCUUACAUUUGCAAAGACAUUGUUCUUGAAACUUUGUAACCGUAAUCCAUGCCACCAUGUUUAUUUUAGACAGAAGAGACUUUCUUCUGGCAACUUUUUGAACAAACCAUACUUGUUCAGUCUUUUUCAAACUGUAGGCAAGGCAAGGCAAGUUUAUUUAUAUAGCACAAUUCAACAGCAAGGCGGUUCAAAGUGCUUUACAGAGACAUUAAAAAACAAAAACAAAUAAAAAGCAUGAUUUAACAUGAGAAAAAAAGGAACAGUAGAUAAAAUCAGUAGUUAAAAUGUACGUUUUGAAAUUUAAGCUUAAAAGUAAAACAGUGCGGAUUUGGUGCUUUAUUCAAAUGCAGCUGAGAACAGGUGAGUCUUCAACCUGGAUUUAAAUAAACUGAGUGUUUCAGCUGAUCUGAGGCUUUCUGGGAGUUUGUUCCAGAUAUAUGGAGCAUAAAAGCUGAAUGCAGCUUCUCCAUGUUUGGUUCUGACUCUGGGAACUGAUAAAAGACCGGAUCCAGAUGACCUGAGGGAUCUGGAAGGUUCAUACUGGGUCAGGAGGUCACUGAUGUAUUUUGGUCCUAAACCAUUCAGAGCUUUAUAGACCAGCAUCAGAACUUUAAAGUCUAUCCUCUGACGGACAGGCAGCCAGUGUAAAGACCUCAGAGCUGGACUGAUGUGGUCCACUUAUUUGGUCUUAGUGAGGACUCGAGCAGCAGAGUUCUGAAUGAGCUGUAGUUGUCUGACUGAUUUUUUAGGUAGACCUGUAAAGAUGCUGUUACAGUACUGUACUGUCAUGAACUUCAACAUUUAACAUGCUAUCUGUCGCCCGAGAUCUGGCACUGGGUUUUUGCGGUUUCAUUGAGCAUUGCACCGUGUGACCCUGGCUGAAUUUCCUGGGACGUUUACUUCUGGGAAUAUCAUGGCGUUAUGUUAACACAUAUCUAAAUGCUCCAGAUCAACAAACUGCCAAAUUGUCUGCUUUUGUAGAGGUGCUCACUCUCUUGGCUGUCUAUUAACUGGAGUUUCCCCUGAUACAUCCAAUGGGAUGUGAGUGUGUGAAUGUUAGACAAGGUGUUUGGGUACAGAAAAAGCAUGUGUGUGAUUGGGUGAAUGAGGUAGCAAAAAAAGCACUUUGAGUGCCCAGUUACAGUAGAAACGUGCUGUAUAACUCCAUUUACCAUUUGAUUCAUGUGGAAGCAGUAAAGAUUUACUCAGUAUCUCACAGGACUGCUUAGAGUCCCACAUGACUGUGUAAUACCUACCCAUAUUUAAGCUGUAUGUCAGCAGGAACCAGGGUUAUAACCUUAUGUGUAUUUAUAUGAGAUGAUGAUGAGAUGAGAUAGCCUUUAUUUGUCAGUUGCAGGUCUUUUGCCCACAACCGAGGUGACAGACCUUGCCGACCAUACAUACAAUACAAACAUCACAUUGGGGAGACAGGUCAGGCCAGGUAGCGAGGAAAAAAAACAUUGAAAUGUGCAACACAAAAGGAUAAUACAGGAAUGCACAGGUAUCAACACACCAUAACACAAUAAACACAGACAAGCAACAUGGGAAAGAGUUCCAGUGUGUACAUCUGAUCUGGGACCGCUACAAUCUUUCGACUGCGCCUCCAGCUGACCCGAUGUCCACAUCAUGUCCACACCUAACCCCCGAUGUCACAUAUUUUGGGUGACUCAUCACAGAUUAGGAAGUUACCAGCUUCUUUACCUGUGCAGGUGGCAAGAGGUGCAGGUGAGGCUGGAGAGACAUGAGAAACAAUGAGAGGAGGUGGUAGAUUGCUCUCCAUCCUCGUCAAGAGCUCUUUCUGCUUAUGUUGAUUCAUCUUGUAGAUUGCUCUGAGGUUGCCUUUUGUCUUUAAUUCAUUGUCAUUUGUUAAUAAGAUUUUUGUUAAUAAAUGUCACUUCUUUGCACACAUUCCUGCCUCGAGAACUGCUUCAUAAACACUCCUUUAAAAACUUUGUGGUCUCAACCACCUUCUGCGUGGGGUCUGGUCUGUCAAGGCCUAUUAUGAAAUCUCAGGUGUUUUUGACUUUAUAAUCUUG